Molecule: ribosomal RNA, 1254 nt
Filed under: Microbacterium paraoxydans
Lineage: Bacteria; Bacillati; Actinomycetota; Actinomycetes; Micrococcales; Microbacteriaceae
Description: bacterial SSU rRNA
Rfam family: Bacterial small subunit ribosomal RNA
Source: RNAcentral
UUAACACAUGCAACUCGAACGGUGAACACGGAGCUUGCUUGUGGGAUCAGUGGCGAACGGGUGAGUAACACGUGAGCAACCUGCCCCUGACUCUGGGAUAAGCGCUGGAAACGGCGUCUAAUACUGGAUACGAGACGUGAUCGCAUGGUCAGCGUCUGGAAAGAUUUUUCGGUUGGGGAUGGGCUCGCGGCCUAUCAGCUUGUUGGUGAGGUAAUGGCUCACCAAGGCGUCGACGGGUAGCCGGCCUGAGAGGGUGACCGGCCACACUGGGACUGAGACACGGCCCAGACUCCUACGGGAGGCAGCAGUGGGGAAUAUUGCACAAUGGGCGGAAGCCUGAUGCAGCAACGCCGCGUGAGGGAUGACGGCCUUCGGGUUGUAAACCUCUUUUAGCAGGGAAGAAGCGAAAGUGACGGUACCUGCAGAAAAAGCGCCGGCUAACUACGUGCCAGCAGCCGCGGUAAUACGUAGGGCGCAAGCGUUAUCCGGAAUUAUUGGGGCGUAAAGAGCUCGUAGGCGGUUUGUCGCGUCUGCUGUGAAAUCCCGAGGCUCAACCUCGGGCCUGCAGUGGGGUACGGGCAGACUAGAGGGCGGUAGGGGAGAUUUGGAAUUCCUGGUGUAGCGGUGGAAUGCGCAAAUAUCAGGAGGAACACCGAAUGGCGAAAGGCGGAUCUCUGGGCCGUAACUGACGCUGAGGAGCGAAAGGGUGGGGAGCAAACAGGCUUAAGAUACCCUGGUAGUCCACCCCGUAAACGUUGGGAACUAGUUGUGGGGUCCAUUCCACGGAUUCCGUGACGCAGCUAACGCAUUAAGUUCCCCGCCUGGGGAGUACGGCCGCAAGGCUAAAACUCAAAGGAAUUGACGGGGACCCGCACAAGCGGCGGAGCAUGCGGAUUAAUUCGAUGCAACCGCGAAGAACCUUACCAAGGCUUGACAUAUACGAGAACGGGCCAGAAAUGGUCAACUCUUUGGACACUCGUAAACAGGUGGUGCAUGGUUGUCGUCAGCCUCGUGUCGUGAGAUGUUGGGUUAAGUCCCGCAACGAGCGCAACCCUCGUUCUAUGUUGCCAGCACGUAAUGGUGGGAACUCAUGGGAUACUGCCGGGGUCAACUCGGAGGAAGGUGGGGAUGACGUCAAAUCAUCAUGCCCCUUAUGUCUUGGGCUUCACGCAUGCUACAAUGGCCGGUACAAAGGGCUGCAAUACCGUGAGGUGGAGCGAAUUCCAAAAAACCCGUUCCAGUUCGGAUUGAGGU